Molecule: long non-coding RNA, 1211 nt
Organism: Ornithodoros turicata
Lineage: Eukaryota; Metazoa; Arthropoda; Arachnida; Ixodida; Argasidae
Exons: 2
Source: RefSeq, a predicted model, not a curated record
CAUCGUGGCAGUGUGGUAGCGGAAUGGGUGUACGAAAAGAAUUACCAUUCCGUCAUCGUGCUGGUGCAGUGACCCGCGCAAUGACGACGCUGCGAUGAAGAUACCCCAUAUCCUUUCUCUUGAGGCAAGUCAGGGAGGGUGCAGGCAUCUAUCGACCAAGUCCUUUGUAUGUAUUCAAUAAAGAUGUUUCAGUGAAAGAGCACACAGAGUCUCGUCAAAGUUAUUCGGACUGUUUAAUGCGUUGCAUGUCAAUAACCAAGCGGUAUUUCAAUAAAUCAGUGACAAAGUUGGCGAUGUAGACUGCUUGCAAAUGUCGCUGCUUCCGUAGAGCGUGCUUAAUAUGAGCGAUGGCACGAGCGAGAAGGUCCACGAUGUCUGCAGCGAUGUAGUUGAAUUCUGCGUUGGACAAGCUCACAAAUUCGCUCAUUAGUCCCAGGGGUCCGUCCGGAACCGUUAUGCAGACGUUCUUGUAACGGGCGUAAAUUCGACGCACCAUCUCCUGCAGCGGCCCCGGCGAGAUCUCUCCUAUAUUGCCAAAGCCUACCAUGUCUAUCACGUAGCGAAAAGCAGUGAUGACGAGCUCGUUGCGGGGACUUUCGCCGUUGAAACAUUCCUUCUCCACUUCUUCCCAAGAAGCGUGGGUGCGGGAACAAUUUUGUAAAGAGUGGUAGCUGAACAUCUUCACGUAGUGAUGACGCGAGCGCGGUGCGCGCUGCCUUUAUACAGAUAAACGCGCGCGCAAAGAAACGAGAGUAAAACCGGAACUCAGAAGCCACCCGUCGCCGCUAGGAGCGCGCGCGCAGCGGAGAGCCGAAACCGAAAACACCCGCGGCCGGCGCAGGGGGCGCUAGGAGCGCGCGCGCGCGCAUGCGCGAACGGGUGGAGCAGAGGGCGCGCGCGCGUCGCCUCUCUCAGUUUCUCUCGGACCGUCGCGGAAGACGGACGUGCGCUCCGCGCGCUCGCUCAGUUGCUGGCUGGAUCUCGUAGGGAGCAGACGUAUGUUCUCCGCGCUCGCUCAGUUUCUGCCUGGAAGUUGCCGCGGGGGAAAAGAGCUAUGAUGGUGGCGCCAUCUGGUGUGAUGCCUUGCAACUAAGUGGCCACCUGUCGUCGAUCUCUGCAACUACCCGACGUCAACAAGCACUGGUCACCCCGGAGCCGUUUCUUCGCCGCGGCAUCGUUGAUUUUCGAAUAAAUUGUUUCUCUCCACUCUA